RNAcentral lists this ribosomal RNA (277 nucleotides) under uncultured eukaryote. RNAcentral's name for it is "partial 18S ribosomal RNA". It matches the Rfam family "Eukaryotic small subunit ribosomal RNA", at positions 21 to 292 of the family's 1831-position model. The record is from RNAcentral.
UAGUCAUAUGCUUGUCUCAAAGAUUAAGCCAUGCAUGUCUAAGUAUAAACAACUUUAUACUGUGAAACUGCGAACGGCUCAUUAUAUCAGCAAUAAUUUAUUUGAUGGUUCCUUACUACAUGGAUAACUGUAGUAAUUCUAGAGCUAAUACAUGCGUAAAGUCCCAACUCUCGCGGGAAGGGAUGUAUUUAUUAGAUAAAAAACCAAUGCGGGCUCUGUCCGGAUUUGUGUUGAAUCAUAGUAACUUAUCGGAUGCCAUGGCUUUAUGCCGGGCACA